UUGGGAUGAUGCGUACAGUGAAAAUGGUUUAGAUGAAACAUGAGGUCAUUUCACUUUCAUGAUUCUUAAUGACAACCAUCGUCCAUGAAAACAACUUAGUAAGACGCAGAAGAAGAACGAUCUACCACAGAGGACAGAGGUGGAGAGUUAUUCUUCUUUAGACUGAACAUUCCCAGUGGGUCUUGGCCAUUCCCUCGCCGAUUGCUGGAAGCCUCAUCGUGGACUAAAUUUUAUGCGCCUCACGUCUCUGCAUCCGGGAUCUACUGUUGACUGAGCCAAGACAACAACAACAGGUACUAACCUGCCUUCAAGGCAUUUGCCUACUUUUCAAACCUGUUAACUUUCGACGAAUGCCUUUUCUUUUAAAUGAGCUUGACGAGAGACACAUUCUGACUACAAAUGUCAC
Molecule: long non-coding RNA, 406 nt
Organism: Entelurus aequoreus (snake pipefish)
Lineage: Eukaryota; Metazoa; Chordata; Actinopteri; Syngnathiformes; Syngnathidae
Exons: 3
Source: RefSeq, a predicted model, not a curated record